GUCCAGGGAUGGGAAUCGAACCCACAGUGUUCCGCUUACCAGGCCGAUGCCAUGUCCACUAGGCUACCCUGGA
This is a non-coding RNA of Cordylochernes scorpioides, 73 nucleotides long. Lineage: Eukaryota; Metazoa; Arthropoda; Arachnida; Pseudoscorpiones; Chernetidae. The record is from the annotation of a GenBank genome assembly.